RNAcentral lists this ribosomal RNA (254 nucleotides) under uncultured bacterium. RNAcentral describes it as "partial 16S ribosomal RNA". It matches the Rfam family "Bacterial small subunit ribosomal RNA", at positions 524 to 776 of the family's 1533-position model. The record is from RNAcentral.
CACGUAGGGUGCAAGCGUUGUCCGGAUUCAUUGGGCGUAAAGGGCUCGUAGGCGGCUUAGCAAGUCGGGUGUGAAAACUUCAGGCUCAACCUGGAGCGGCCAUCCGAUACUGCUAUGGCUAGAGUCCGGUAGGGGACCACGGAAUUCCUGGUGUAGCGGUGAAAUGCGCAGAUAUCAGGAGGAACACCAGUGGCGAAGGCGACUACCUGGCCUGUUCUUGACGCUGAGGCGCGAAAGCUAGGGGAGCAAACGGG